This 453-nucleotide ribosomal RNA is filed under the name uncultured Paraprevotella sp. RNAcentral's name for it is "bacterial SSU rRNA". It matches the Rfam family "Bacterial small subunit ribosomal RNA", at positions 341 to 792 of the family's 1533-position model. The record is from RNAcentral. Lineage: Bacteria; Pseudomonadati; Bacteroidota; Bacteroidia; Bacteroidales; Prevotellaceae.
ACGGGAGGCAGCAGUGAGGAAUAUUGGUCAAUGGACGAGAGUCUGAACCAGCCAAGUAGCGUGCAGGAUGACGGCCCUAUGGGUUGUAAACUGCUUUUGUAUGGGAAUAAAGUGAGGGUCGUGACCCUUUUUGUAUGUACCUUACGAAUAAGCAUCGGCUAAUUCCGUGCCAGCAGCCGCGGUAAUACGGAAGAUGCGAGCGUUAUCCGGAUUUAUUGGGUUUAAAGGGAGCGUAGGCGGACCUUUAAGUCUGUGGUCAAAUGUCAGGGCCCAACCUUGUCAUGCCAUGGAAACUGUAGGUCUUGAAUACACACAAGGAAGGUGGAAUUCGUCGUGUAGCGGUGAAAUGCUUAGAUAUGACGAAGAACUCCGAUUGCGAAGGCAGCCUUCUGGAGUGCGAUUGACGCUGAGGCUCGAAAGUGCGGGUAUCAAACAGGAUUAGAUACCCUGGUA